AGAUUCUUUAACACAGUCCAGAGAGGCUGAGAAGGAUAUCGGACAAGUGAAUGAGUAUAUUCGCUUUAAAGACCCCUCUCUGCCCGAUGCAGAAGGGGUUUUUGUUU
Bacillus glycinifermentans is the source of this 107-nucleotide non-coding RNA. Lineage: Bacteria; Bacillati; Bacillota; Bacilli; Caryophanales; Bacillaceae. The record is from Rfam.